AACGAGGACAUUUGCUCAGAUUUGACUGUAACCUUUACUUCAGGAGAGUGCAGAGGUUCUUCCUUUGACUUCACCAAAAGCAUCAGUGUUGAUUUCUUAAAUUCCAGUGAAAUACAGCAGAUUAAACCCACUGGACUUCCUGCAGAAAUUUACACAACAUUACCUGAUUUACCAAAGUGUAAAAACCUCUCAGUUAGUAACUACACCUGUUCAG
Long non-coding RNA from Pelmatolapia mariae (spotted tilapia), 214 nucleotides. RefSeq lists it as uncharacterized. NCBI's taxonomy places the organism in Eukaryota, Metazoa, Chordata, Actinopteri, Cichliformes, Cichlidae. The transcript is spliced from 2 exons. The record is from RefSeq and is a predicted model, not a curated record.